UGGCAGAGUCAUUUGUCUGGUUAAUUCCGUCGGCGAACAAGACCUUCGCCAAAUCAUCGGCUAUAUGGGCAACUUCUUAUAGGGACUGUGUCGUGUCUAACGCGAGGAAGUAUGGAACAAUGGAA
This 125-nucleotide ribosomal RNA is filed under the name uncultured eukaryote. RNAcentral's name for it is "partial 18S ribosomal RNA". The record is from RNAcentral.